AUUGAACGCUGGCGGCAGGCCUAACACAUGCAAGUCGAGCGGAUGAAGGGAGCUUGCUCCUGGAUUCAGCGGCGGACGGGUGAGUAAUGCCUAGGAAUCUGCCUGGUAGUGGGGGAUAACGUCCGGAAACGGGCGCUAAUACCGCAUACGUCCUGAGGGAGAAAGUGGGGGAUCUUCGGACCUCACGCUAUCAGAUGAGCCUAGGUCGGAUUAGCUAGUUGGUGGGGUAAAGGCCUACCAAGGCGACGAUCCGUAACUGGUCUGAGAGGAUGAUCAGUCACACUGGAACUGAGACACGGUCCAGACUCCUACGGGAGGCAGCAGUGGGGAAUAUUGGGCAAUGGGCGAAAGCCUGAUCCAGCCAUGCCGCGUGUGUGAAGAAGGUCUUCGGAUUGUAAAGCACUUUAAGUUGGGAGGAAGGGCAGUAAGUUAAUACCUUGCUGUUUUGACGUUACCAACAGAAUAAGCACCGGCUAACUUCGCG
This 484-nucleotide ribosomal RNA is filed under the name uncultured bacterium. RNAcentral's name for it is "partial 16S ribosomal RNA". It matches the Rfam family "Bacterial small subunit ribosomal RNA", at positions 30 to 507 of the family's 1533-position model. The record is from RNAcentral.